Molecule: non-coding RNA, 855 nt
Organism: Plutella xylostella (diamondback moth)
Lineage: Eukaryota; Metazoa; Arthropoda; Insecta; Lepidoptera; Plutellidae
Source: RefSeq, a predicted model, not a curated record
UUAAGGGUGGCUUUUAUCAAAGUGAUAAAUGUAUUUAACUUGUUAUUUAAACACAAUUUGAAAUUAAAUUUCGUAAAACAUCUUUUACCACGACUUAAAUAUGAUUAGUAAUCUGUUAAACCUAAAUGCGGUCAAAUGGCUAUUUAACUUUACUAAACACAUUUAUCUACUACGCAUGUCAUGGCGUCAGUCGCGGCGAUCAGCUGACCGACCGGCUGUCAAGAGAACUUUUCCAUUUCUAGCAUUUUUCCUCAGUGAUGUCUAGUUGUUGUCUGUGAGAGAUUCAGAGGUCAUUGUUCAGAGGUUAUGUUGAGGUUAUCUAAUAAAUAAUGGAUUUGUGGGAUAUUUUGUUUGAUGACGAUGAAGAAGAAUUACUUCUCUAUAUGAAUAGACCUCGCUCAUUACGCUAUAUUGCAGAAAGAACUAACUUAUUUGAGACACUACCGGAUAAAAAAUUUGUUAGGAGAUUUCGUUUGACAAAACAAACUGUAUCGCUUCUACUACAAGAAAUUCAACAUCAUCUUGAAUUUAUUUCCACCAGAAAUAAUGCAGUUACUCCAAUGAACCAGUUGUUAUGCACACUCCGAUAUUAUGCAACUGGCAGUUAAUUACUUGUGGAGAUGUGAUAGGUGUGGAAGAACCAACAGCAGCUUGCAGAAUCAUUCAUAGAGUUACUCAUGCAAUAGCAUUAUUGUAUAAAAAAUACAUUAAAUCUCCUAAUACCAUUCAAGAACAACGUUUUUUUGCUCUCUAUAAUGUGCAAGUAUGGUUCCAAUACAUUGCACAAUAAAUCUUGUUCUUCCCUUGUAAAAUUAGGGGCACGAACACGAGAAGAAGUUGCUUGACUAUUCAUUU